RNAcentral lists this ribosomal RNA (523 nucleotides) under Geastrum aff. morganii MA-Fungi 83772. Its description in RNAcentral is "eukaryotic LSU rRNA". The stretch from base 156 to 310 matches the Rfam family "5.8S ribosomal RNA". The record is from RNAcentral. Lineage: Eukaryota; Fungi; Basidiomycota; Agaricomycetes; Geastrales; Geastraceae.
CAUUACUGAAAGAUGAUAGGGUCUUGAGACUGCAUAUAACUGCGUGCUCGACUCUUACUCUUUUAUUCCACACACCUUUGUGCACCAUGGGACUUUGGUCCCCCAUUAUUAACACCUAGUUAUAUGCAUGUGUAAUACUCUAUGGAGUAAUGUACAACUUUUAACAACGGAUCUCUUGGCUUUCGCAUCGAUGAAGAACGCAGCGAACGUGCGAAACGUAAUGUGAAUUGCAGAAUUCAGUGAAUCAUCGAAUCUUUGAACGCAUCUUGCGCUCCUUGGCAUUCCGAGGAGCAUGCCUGUUUGAGUGUCGUAUAGUACUCUCAAUUUCGAUUUGAAAUUGGAUUUGGGUGUUGUUGUGGGAUCACAACUCAUCCUAAAUGCAUUAGCGAUCUGCCAUUGAUCACAUGCAAUGUGAUAAGAAAAAGCAUUGUUAGGGAUUGAUUCGGGAUGGCUUCAAAUAGACAUUUAAUUAUUUUGACCUCAGAUCAGGUAGGACUACCCGCUGAACUUAAGCAUAUCAAUA